UCCAAUAGAGCGGCUGAGAUGGUUAGAGCGCCGCUAACUGUCAAUCAAGCGCUUUGUUUAAAGAAGCAGCUCCAAGACUCCGCCCCCUCCACAAAACUCAUCUGAUAAAACACACGAGAGACAGAGGAAUCAAAGACAUCGACUACACAGCACUCCGUUACCGCUGGAGCAACACCACAAAUCCCACAGCACACCUCCAGCUCUCUCUUCAUCAAAGCACGCAAACAAUAGUAGCUGGAAAGGAUCGAGAGGAAUAUAGUACCCUCGCAACAGAACAAUGAACACGGGCUGAUUUCUCAGGACCACACUGGCAAAGCAUUAGCACAGGGUUUAAAGGAUGCUCUCAUAAAUUUGAAACUGGAAAAUCUUCUGUGCAUAACGACAGAUAAUAGAGCCAACAUUGUAAAGUCCACAUCCAUAAAUGACUCGACACGAUUGCAGUGUUUUGGCCACAGGCUUCUUCUCGCAAUAGUUUGUUUGCGGCUGCUGAUGUCUGGACAAUUUCAGGAACUGAGCACAUCUAAAAGCCCAGAAAGGAAAUGAAAAGCUCCUGCUGUUGUAAACACUCGAGAAAGACUUGAAAAAAAAGGACUCAAACAGAAAAAAUUCAUUCUAUGUUAACAAUGUUUUCUUUCUCUCUGGGUUGUGUGCUAUAGUUUUAUUAGCGUGUGACUGAACCAUUGACAGUCUUGUUGAAGUCCGACACUUAUUAUGAUAAAGGAGUCUCUGUUUGAACUCAACAUUGUGCUGUUUGUGUGGCAGUGAGUCAUAGUCUCUCUGGUCUUAAUGCAAGAAGCGUGAAUUUGAAUCAUUUCCGAGCUUUAUGACAGCUCCAUCUGUUAUUUGAGAUUAUCUCUAUUCUAAGCCUGUUUAGUAAAAUUUCUUGAUUCUCUAAAGCCAAGCUUAUUACAAAUUGGCAUGAGUCCAAAAUUUUAGUUGUCAGUGAGUGUCAUCUUUUGUUUAGUCAAACUUUUUUUUUUUUUCCUUUCAAAAAAAUGUCAUUUCAGUUUAGUCAAUAUUUUUUUUUAGUUUUUGUAAAUUGAACACUGAAUGCACUAUAAUUUUAGUGUCUAAAAAAAUAAAAUGUGUGGUAGGCCUAGUGAAAAACCUGUCAAAACUUAACACCAAAGUACAAACUUUUACUGAAAAAUGUAUAAAAAAGUUAAUUUAAACAUGCACUAAACAAAUGAAAGAUUUUAAUAUCAAUAAAAUAUAGUAGUUUUGAAAACCAGCUGUUAUUUUAGCUCAUCUACUGUUUAGAAGUUACUGUGGUGUGAAUUCUUCAAGCUAUACUGUUAUGAUUUUUAAAGCGCACAUUUAAUAGCAUUAUACUGAUAUAUUUUCAUGUCAUGUUGUCAUUCGCAGACUUUUAACUUCUUCAGCAAUCCCAAAGACUGUAUGGAAAACACCCAUUAUGAUGAUUGAACAAUUUUAAUUUAAUUUGUCAGUGAUUUCACUGAAAUGUGAAAUUUCAGUGAAAUUUCACUAAAGUGAAAUUUCACAAUUCUUGAUAAUUGUUGUGACCUUACUGUGAUACAUUGAAAUUAUCCAAAUGCUUUGAGUGUCCUAAUGUUCUCAUUCUGUAUGUUCAACAGUUUUUCGUACAACGCUCCCAAAAUAAUAGAAACCCUACCUGGUCUCAUGGCAUAAAUGUACCUGGGUGCACUUUUUAGCGAUAUGAGUCCCGAUUAAUAAAGUGUAAUUUUUGCACAGUUACUUGAAGAAUAUCAUGUUAUGACUUAAAAAAAACAAUAUUAAUAUGCUGGGAGAUUUGAAAACUGAUGCUUUUGAAUGUUGGCAUCACACAUAUUCAGCUUCAUAUCUAUGGGUUUUCAUAGAUGGUAGGUUUGUUUGGUAGCUCACGGAGACAGACUUAACCACAGUUUGACAAAGCAGUCCAAAUCUGCAUAUAAGGAAGUUCAGAUGGCACGGUUGCAUCAACAAAUGCAAUUUUAUAUCAGUUUUGGAUUUGUUUACACUAUCGGGUAGGUUUAGGGUUGGGUUUGGUGUAGGGCAUAUCCAACAUGAUAGAGCAUUAACUUUUAGCGACAGUCCCCGGAUAUUUGAAUUCUGAACCACGCAAUAUGUACCAGAAGCAACAUAAUAAAAACACAGCAAUACGUACCUAUAUCAACAACAUAAAUAUGUGCCAGGGUUCACGGAUUGAACCAAUGUUUUAGUGCCAAUCAGUGGACAUUUUUCUUUGAAACUGUGGCGAAACGUGCAGUAAGGUAUGUAAAACGGUGUUGCACAAAAAGUGCACAGAGGUAUGUAUUUUUAUGAGACCAGGUAUAAACCACAGUUAAAUUGCACAAAGUUCCCUUUAAGAUUUUGUAUAUUGAGGAAGGGGGAAGUAGGGGGAAGUUGUGGCCUAGUGGUUAGAGAGUUUGACUCCUAACUCUAAGGUUGUGGGUUCAAGUCUCGGGCCGGCAA
Molecule: long non-coding RNA, 2433 nt
Organism: Cyprinus carpio (common carp)
Lineage: Eukaryota; Metazoa; Chordata; Actinopteri; Cypriniformes; Cyprinidae
Exons: 3
Source: RefSeq, a predicted model, not a curated record